Molecule: non-coding RNA, 74 nt
Organism: Trichonephila clavipes
Lineage: Eukaryota; Metazoa; Arthropoda; Arachnida; Araneae; Nephilidae
Source: the annotation of a GenBank genome assembly
UGUCCCUAUAGUGCAAUUUAUAGCGCGUUGGACAUCUACUUCAAAGGUCGUUUGUUCGAUCCUAACUGGGAUAC